AUUUGCAGCAGACUUGGAGUCAAAAGACUUUUCAAAUAUGUAUUGACCCAAUACUUUUUAUUGCUCUGAACUAUGGAGAAUACUUAAGGGACUUAGCAGCUAGGGGGUUUCAAUAUUUGUUGUCGGUGGUGACUGCCGAGAACGCGAUGGGUCAGGUCCAUCCCGCACACAGACGACAGGAACGGGGAAGCGAGAGCUGGGCCUCAGAUCUGACAGUGAUCACCAAGGAAAUGAACACGCUGAUGGCCCUCUGCAUCUCCAGCACAGUUCGGUUGGAUGCCGCUAGUGGGUGGCAGUAUCUCUCGUUUUGAUCAAGGAAACAGAAGUAUCGAGUGAUCCAAGGCAAUGGCUCGCCUACUUCUCUCUUUAGAGUUUAAAACCAUCUCAUGCACCGAUUGUGAUCUCUGGCAACUGCAGGUAAAAGAUGGCCUGUAUCACGGCUAGUUUGUAAUUGCAGGAGGAAGGAGAACAAAAACCCCAAUGUCUCUGGACUUCAGCCUCUGGGCAAGGAUUUGCCCUUUUAACACUGUGUUCUUAUAUAUUUAUAGUUUCUUCAGCAAUGUGUAUUGAAUACACUUUUCCUGAGCAAGAGAAAGGCACAGGUGUAGAUGGUGUCUAGCAAAUAGGACUCUGGCCGGGCUGAUGUCUUUGGGUGUUGCCACAGCAAACGUGUGAAAAAGUUGAAAGCUAAAUUGUGUUGAUAAAUUUGCACUCAUACAUGCUAAGUAUGAAGCCACACAGUUAUUACAGUGUCCUUCUCAAUUUUGGUAAAUGACUAGAACAGUGCGGACAUCCUGCUGCAUCAGAAAUGUGUCAGUUAAGAUAUGAGUUUGGUAAAUUUAAGCAAAUCCUAGUUGCAUUGAAAUCAAUGGGAAAACUGAAUGAAAGCUGAUAAACCAGGAUUUGACCCUGAAUUUGGUAAGAAAACAUUACAGGUUGAGGAAACUCUGCCUUAACAGGCUCCAGCUACUACAACCAUGUAGCUUAACUUCAUGGUGAAUUCUUAGACCCGUGCAUAUACUGCGGCUGGAUCCUUACACUCAGAUACUACUGUUGGGUAUAUCUAAUGUUGAAGGACCGCACAUAAAGGAGGAACCCAGUUUUCACAUUGCUCUCUCAAGCAGCGUGUUUUUAUUUCCUGUCUUCUUAACCCAGAAUUUGUGGCAUUGGCUGCUGCUGUUGUGACAGAUGCUGAAAGAGGCUGGCAGUAUUUUUGGUGCUGAAACCAAAACUUGUAAGAGUUUGUCUUUGUUGACAAACUCUUAAAAGAAAGAUUUACUGUUAUGGGGCUGUUUCCUCUCAGGGUCAUUU
Molecule: long non-coding RNA, 1311 nt
Filed under: Struthio camelus australis
Lineage: Eukaryota; Metazoa; Chordata; Aves; Struthioniformes; Struthionidae
Description: lncRNA (ENSSCUG00000002196.1)
Source: RNAcentral